RNAcentral lists this long non-coding RNA (1362 nucleotides) under Castor canadensis (American beaver). RNAcentral describes it as "lncRNA (ENSCCNG00000018784.1)". The stretch from base 1269 to 1362 matches the Rfam family "Eukaryotic large subunit ribosomal RNA", at positions 1 to 96 of the family's 3401-position model. Lineage: Eukaryota; Metazoa; Chordata; Mammalia; Rodentia; Castoridae. The record is from RNAcentral.
CGAUCAAUCGCCUCCCCCGCGGUGGUCUGCUUCCGAGCUCUCCAGCCGGGGAGGGGGGGGUUGUCGCGCGGCUGGGGGUUGCUCGUGGGCCAGCCCGACUCUCGUCCGCGGGCCCUCCGUCCCCUAAGAGCAGACGACGGCCGAUCGCGUGCGCGUCACGUCGCCGAGACGAGCGAGAGAGCGAGGGUCGCGGGCGCCCUCCGCCGCGGCCCGUGGCCCGCGGGGAGGCGCUCACGCCGAGGCGACGAAUUCCCGCGUCCCCGCGGCGUUCCCGUCCGGGAACGGCGUCUCGCGCCGCACCGGGGUCCGUCUGGCUCGCUCCGAGGCCCCGCGGGUCGCGUUUGCGGGGUCCGCGCCCCCGGGGACGCACGCCCCGGGGGGGCCCGCGGGACGCCGCGGUGUCCGUCCCGCGCGCGCUUCCCUCCCGGGGCGCGGCCGCGUCGCGCCGCGUCGCCCGAGCCCACCGCCGACGCCGGCCCGUGUUCACCCGCCGCCCGUCCGUCCCGUCCCGCCCCGGGGCCGUCCCGCCCAUCGCUCCCGCCCUCCCGCCCCUCCCGUCUCGUCCCGGUCGGCCGGCCCGCCGCCUCCGCCCCCUCCGGGGAGGGAGGGCUGGCCUCGCGGAGCCGGCGGGUCCGAGGAAGAGCGCGGGGGACGGUGGUGGGGGUGGACAAAAGAGCGAAAGACGGGGUCUCCCGCGGCGGGCACCGGGCGGCCGUCGGCGCCGUGGAAGCCUCGGCGCGUGGGCGCGCGUCACCCGCCCUCCGGCGGCGGGGUCCGCGCCCGCGCUCCCUCGACUCUCUCCGCGGCUCUCGCGCGUCGCGUGCGCGUCGCCCCGACCGACGGGGCCGGCCUUCCAUCUCCGGGAGCCUCGCGGUCGCGCGUGGCUUGUGCGCGGAGGAGGGGGAAAGGGGAAGGAGCGUCCCGGGGGCGGCGCGCGGUUCGUUCGGGGGCGUGGGUGUGGUGGUGGUGGUGGUGGUGUGGUGGUGCGGGGGGGAGGACGCGGUGUCGUGCCGGGUGCGGGUCCGGCGGCGGACGCGUGCGGGUGAGUCGGGUCGCGGGGACGGUUCCGCCGCCCCCUCCGCGCCUCCGCUCCGCGCCGCCGCCCGCCCCGGCCCUCCCGCUCUCCUCUCCUCCUCCUCCUCCUCCUCCCUCCUCCUCCUCCCCCGCCAACCUCCGACGGGGCCUCCCCGCGCCCCCACACGGCGCCCGUCCCCCUUCCUUUCCCCGCGCCCGCCUCCGCACCCCCGGCUCCCCGCCCUCCGGAGACGCGACCUCAGAUCAGACUGGCGACCCGCUGAAUUUAAGCAUAUUAGUAGCGGAGGAAAAGAAACUAACGAGGAUUCCCUCAGUAACGGCGAGUGA